Bombus pyrosoma is the source of this 3815-nucleotide long non-coding RNA. RefSeq lists it as uncharacterized. The transcript has 4 exons. The record is from RefSeq and is a predicted model, not a curated record. Lineage: Eukaryota; Metazoa; Arthropoda; Insecta; Hymenoptera; Apidae.
AUUGCAGUAGGAGUGCAUGUUCGGACAGCUAUCGCGUAAUUUGUAAUCCAGUAGGAAAACCAUGAUGGACGUAUAGUGUUGCUGUAUAAUGUUAUUACAUUUGAAAUUUCAAUCUACGUAGUACGUGCUUCUUUGUUUAUUUAGAAAACAACAAAGUCAGACAAAGGCAAUUACACGUUUUAAUCCUAUUUGACAUUAACUGAGAACAGAAGAUAAGCUUCCAUUUGCCGUGAUUGCAAAUGGUAUUUGAAUAAUAUUGGAACGAAGAUGCCAUGGAGUAAAAUUUCACCGAUUAUGUAUUUACGGACUAAAAAUCCACCCUUUGAGUACUACAAAACAAAACACAAGAGAGCUACAACAUACCGUAGCGCGAUUUAAUUCUACAUGUAAAAAAAGAAACUCAUAAACGUAAACCACCUUCUACAUUAACCAUUGCCUACACGAGUCACGAGUUGCGAGUUUCUUCCCGAUCAUUAUCUCCGUGAGCGUAUUAUACGAUCGUUUGGCUGAUUUUUACCUAACGUGGAAAUGUUGAAUAAUUUUAAAGUGGCGAAGAAAAAGUGGCUCGAGGUGAAAAAGCAGAUGGGUUCGAAUGGGUUUACUCGUAAAAAGAAGGCGAUCGAUUCGCAUCGACUGCCAUAGUUCGCAGGAGGAUGCAAGCUUCCGUACAAGGGACGCAAUGGAUCGUAACGAUCGUGCGUGGAUCAGCGCCGGUGGAUCCUCUCGAGCUAGGCCAUCGAUCACGCAGCCGAUCGCACGGAAGAUCGCUUCUUAAGUGAUUCAUUGUUUUCUACUGAGUUUACUCGUGACUUAUAUUAUAGCUUUACACUUGUCAGUCGACCUUCCUUGUUCAACUUGGACAAAUAACGCUGUAUGAUAGGUAACGAUGGGAAGAGAACACCUACGAGGAUCGAAUUACGUCAUCGUUGCUGCGUAGUCGCGAAGAACUGUGCAACGAACAUCUUUUGUCGUCAGGUUUUGUAUAUCCCAAUCUCGAUCCUAUCUUGGAAAGCUUGAAAAAAUGGAUCUAAUAUGCUGACAAAUUUUCUUAACGACGAAAAACACGACUGAAUCGAAAAUCCUCGAAGAACGAAACGGACUUGAUAUACAGCGGCUCAUAAGCAAAAUGCUAUAAAUACUGUCCAUAAAAAAAUACACUGAUCGUUGAAAAUAUUGGAAUACAGCGUUGAAUAUAUGUAAGAUCGUCCGAUUCUUAGAAUCGAAUUUUUACCUAGACCUAGAUCUCAGGUAACAUCAAACUAAUUAACCGCCUCUACAUCGAUCUUUCAUUAAUCUCAAGCAUCCUCGACUAUUAAGCUCGUCGUCUGCAACCUACGCAAAGAAUGGAACGCCGACCAACUAGGAAGUUAUUAAAAUGCCGUAUUCAGCGGACAAGAAACUGUAACAGUCGAGGUGGACAGUGAUCGCGCGAGGCAAGAAAGGGCCUUGACAAUGGCGGAGCGAAGAAGACAGCAGAUACCGCGAAUAGAAAAACCGCAAGCUAGCAGAAAUAUCAGAGGCCCAGGUAUACCGUUUCUUUUCGUCUUGCGUAUUUAAACACCGGUAACGGUAUACACCUCGCGUUAGGAUCCAUGGACAAUUCAUCCGAGCCGUUUUCUUUGCUUCAUCCGGACGUCGUUUGCGUAAGAAUCAAUUUGGCCGUGCCUAAGUCCGUUAGAAGCGUGCAAAGGUACACGCAUGCUUGGCCACGUUGCCUGGCCGUUAACUUUGGAUGCGCGUCGGCUUUUUCAUCGCUUCCUCGAUUCCCUGGCCCGAUCGUGGAACGACGACGUCGAACGAGUUAAUUAAAGUGCCAGCGGGAAAACGAGCGACCAUGACGUGUAACACGAACACGAUAAAACAGAAGUUGCAUUGCGGAUAAAUUCCACUGGAAUGUCUAUAAAACUGUGCGAAAGGAGAAUGGCUGGAAUACUGGUGAAAAUUAGAAAUUGAUUUCUUACUUCAGAGACAGAGGUUUUGGAUGAGACGCGUAUUUUGAGAAGAAAAACGAACCACUUGUUUUCUCAAUGGCUUCUGGAAAAUGAAUACAACGUGGAGAAUGAAACAAAAGUUCGAGGACAGUGUAGAUGAUAAUUGGCGAAAGAGAACAAAGAAACCGUUUCGUCCUUGAAGAUCUCUCAAGAGUUAAUACGAUAUGACAUACACUGCUACUUAAAAUCGUUGGGAUAUCUUUUAUCUUUAAUAAUCAUUCGCUGUUCGAUGUAGAUUGCGAACUUCAAAUUACACAUCUUCGUAUUUUAGCCAUCUGUCAAUUUUAAAGCAAAUACAUUAAUAUUCUACGACUUUUAAUUAACACACCUUGAGUAUCGUUUGUUACGCGUGUUUGUUCAGCUCGUGGCUAAUUUAUUCGCACAUUAGUCUCACCUCGAACAAAAGGAUUUUUUCGCGCGAAAACCGCCGAAGCGCGGAAGAGGACCUUGAGAUCUCGCUCCGAGAUGAUUGGACGGAAUCGACGGCAUCCGUCGACGAUUCACCGUGACUAGAAAUAAGGAAAUUGGAAGGCCAGGUGGAUGAAGGAUGUGGAUGACGAACGACGAUUUCGAGAUAUUACGCGCUUGUUACGAAGGAACGAGAAUAUCUCGUGUCAGGGGAAGGAGAUUUAACUCCUUGUUAACUCGAGCCUUGAAUCUUCCAUCGGAAUCGUUUUGUUUGAAUCGGAUUGGUGAGUCGGAGGAAGUCAUCUUGAGCGAAGCAUCUUUCGGAAUGUGAAUCUCUUUCUCCUUUUCUUUCUUUUUCCUUUAAUCUCUUUUCUAUGGAAGAAUUUUCAUAAGACAUUUCAGAAUAAUAAUUGAAAGUUAUAGGGAAAAUUAUGAUAAAAAUAGUUUUGUUUAUUUGUUCAAUUUAGUGUCACUUUGCGACUAAAACGGGAUGUCUUAAUAGAAAAUCGAAAGAAGAAUAGCAUUAGUAUUUUAUUUAUUACGCGGAUUAUUGAAAAUUACUUUGAGGAGACUAAUGUGUUCCUUCGAUACGAGCUACAAUCUGAAGAACCGCAAGAGGAGUCAAAGGUCGUCGAAGAGUAAUGUGCGAAUUAUGUUACCUCCUUCCCUACUGGCAUUUUGGUCCUUGCGUCUUCUAACUGAAUAUACGCAUUAUCUCGAUAAACGAGUACAUGAUCAUCAGACGAACGAAAAAACGCAAAUUUCAGAAGCGGAAUUCGAAUCUACUGUCGCGGUCAAGUAGAGUUAUUUGAUUCAAUACGAUAUUUGGGUCAAGCUACUAUACACGUGAUGUCGAAGCUCGACUGACAUAAACAAUUCAACUACUUCGUUUCAAAGUCUACAUAAAAGAUCAAUGAUACCUGAUUUAUUAGGCUGUCUGCACUGCAGGCGAUGGAGUAUCAAAGUUACGAGGUAAAGAAACUGUCGACAGCGAAGAUAGCUCAAUCAGUUCGAGUAGUUUAGCCCGGUCAACGAAAGACCAGGUCUGAUCUCUGUGCCAGCCAAUCCUGUGACUGAUUCCUCUUCUCCCUGCAAUUUAUUAUCAUUAUACACCUGUCCUGUUUAGGCCUACACCUCUAUUAUCUCAUACAUCUUGUCUCCCACUAUUUUCUCUCAGUCAAAGUCCUAUGGAGCAUGUGCGAGGAUGAUUCUUGCGUACUCUACACUCUACUAUGUAUAGUAAUAAAAAUAUGGUGCAUGCUGCAGGGUAAACGCAGUUUGUAGUUAGCGCAAGUAUACGUUACUUAUUAACAUACACACAACCGCUGCAUACAGAGUGAUCCAUAUCUUUCAUCGCUUUGAAUAUCUUUCUUAGUUUUAGAGAUACGAACAUUUCCUACUUCGUCUCUUUCCUAU